Molecule: long non-coding RNA, 577 nt
Filed under: Chinchilla lanigera (long-tailed chinchilla)
Lineage: Eukaryota; Metazoa; Chordata; Mammalia; Rodentia; Chinchillidae
Description: lncRNA (ENSCLAG00000027293.1)
Source: RNAcentral
AUGAGAAAUAUUGUUACCAAAAGGGAAAGGAGCUUGUGCAGGAUCAAUCCUUCUAGCCAUCCACCCACCCACCUAUCCAUCACUGAGAACCAUGCUCCAUGCCAGGCAGCUUCACAAAAGGUCCCUUUCCCUGACUCUUCAGAGGCCAGAUUUUCCAUCUUGGUACUAGAUGUCUCCGACGUGCAAAGUACGAUCCAAAGCAGAAGGGAGUACACCCGCAGUCAAGAGGGCCGCAGUCAAGCCUCACUGGUCAAAGGGACCCCACCAGCCCCAGUCCAACCCCUCCUUCCAGCCCACCCAGGGCCCCCCUUAGUGCCAAAGCUCAGUUCAAGCAGUGUUCCUGGAGGAGGAAGAAGAGGAUGGAGAAGAGAAAAGCCCAGGACGGAAAUGAAGAGGACAUCUCUGCAACAUGAUGUCACGCAGGCUGCUUUCAGAUCCCCCAAACGAACGGAGAACAGAAGCAAACAACAUGGACUCCAGAUUUAUUCGGCCUCAAAAGGGUGUCUGCCUGCUGACUGGAUCUUCAUAUACACAACUAUACUGAGGAGCAGAGAGAAACUCGGAUGAGGAAGACAUG